UCCGUAGGUGAACCUGCGGAAGGAUCAUUGCCGAAACCUGCCCAGCAGAACGACCCGUGAACACGUUGUACCACACACACGCCGGGGACGCGGGGGUCACUCGGCCUUCGCUUCCCGGCGGGCCCGUGGGGAGUGGGGCGCCAGCUCCCUCUCCCGGGCUCCUCAACCAACCCCGGCGCAGGACGCGCCAAGGACCAAGUGAUCGAAGAGCACGCCCCCGUCGCCCUGGAAACGGGGCGGCGGCCGCGUUUUCUUUUGCUAUGAGCAAGAAAAA
RNAcentral lists this ribosomal RNA (274 nucleotides) under Casearia commersoniana. Lineage: Eukaryota; Viridiplantae; Streptophyta; Magnoliopsida; Malpighiales; Salicaceae. The record is from RNAcentral.